Long non-coding RNA from Uranotaenia lowii, 1100 nucleotides. RefSeq lists it as uncharacterized. The transcript has 2 exons. The record is from RefSeq and is a predicted model, not a curated record. NCBI's taxonomy places the organism in Eukaryota, Metazoa, Arthropoda, Insecta, Diptera, Culicidae.
CGUGUGUACGAUUCUUUGAAGUGGACUUAUUUUUAACUAUACAUAUACUGACAACGAGCGCCCUCUUUUUCUGAUGAAUGAUCCUGUCAACGUCUAUUAGUAGCUUGAGCAGUUGUGUUCACUUCCGGUUUUUAAUAAAUGUGAUCACAUCGGUGCGUGUCAUGUGCGAAAAGUGUCAACAACACGACGGACGGAAUUAUGUUAACGCCAAAACAAGGACGUAUGAUCACAAUGCUGUACGUGCGGUUGACGAUCUGGUUGUUUUCGCUUGAUCCUUCUGAGGAAUCCGCAGCUAAUUAUUAUUUUUAACUGCUUUCGGAUUCAUUUUUCGUUGCGAAUAAUCAAUCCAACGUUGUGAUUUACUUUAUUCUGUGUCGUACAUUUGUGCAGGAUUUUGUGUUUACGACCAAUGACUACAUAUUUACUAACGUUUUUUCUCCUCUAUUUGUCUGGUUACGGUUAUUCUUACCUACCAUCAUCAUCGUAAGAGAGCGUUGUUUUUGUUUUUGGUACCCGGUGAUGAUGUGAUGUGAUGAAAUGCUUGGGACUAUAUCCAAGGUGUCAGGGUAGAAAAGGUACAGUUGAGUAACGAGUCUUGGUUUGGACGGAUCGAGCAGUUGAAAUCAGUUUGUGAAGUGCCUACGUACGAAUAAGUGCACCAAAAAUGGGUAAAGGCAAAGGUGGAGGCGGAGGUGGUGGUGCUGGAGCGAAUCCUGGUGGCAAUCAAAAAGGCGGUGGAGGAGGUAAACCCAAAGGUGGAAAUGAAAAUAAAAGUGCUUCUGGAGGUAAGGCAGGAGACAAGGGAGGAAAAAAGGGUGGCAAUAAAAAGUAAGGACGGAACCGUGGUCAGCUUCAACCCUUUCCCCAAUCAGCACGAGAUACAGAUGAUGCCGUUUCGAAAAAGAUAGAACAAUUGGACUGUGAAAUUUUAGCCUACGGAUUUGUUCCAAUGGCUCGAUUAGCUUAUGAACUUCAAAAGUAUUUAUUUUCUGUGUACUGCUGUGUUAAACGAAUAUGUGUUGUGUAUAUAUCUUCUAAGGUGUAUUUAAAUAAGGUGGAAUAAAAAGACGCAAAUCUGUUUUGCAUACUGACCUUCAUAA